GACAGAGGGUGCAACCGUUGCUCGGAAUUACUGGGCGUAAAGGGCUCGUAGGCGGCCAACUAAGUCGGACGUGAAAUCCCUCAGCUUAACUGGGGAACUGCGUCCGAUACUGGAUGGCUUGGAUUUGGGAGAGGGAUGCGGAAUUCCAGGUGUAGCGGUGAAAUGCGUAGAUAUCUGGAGGAACACCGGCGGCGAAGGCGGCAUCCUGGACCAAUAUUGACGCUGAGGAGCGAAAGCCAGGGGAGCAAACGGG
RNAcentral lists this ribosomal RNA (253 nucleotides) under uncultured bacterium. RNAcentral's name for it is "partial 16S ribosomal RNA". It matches the Rfam family "Bacterial small subunit ribosomal RNA", at positions 524 to 776 of the family's 1533-position model. The record is from RNAcentral.